AUGUCGUGGCUGACGCGGGCGGGGAAGUCCAAGGAGAAAGAGGAGCCGGAGGGUUCCGUGGGGCGGGAGGAGAGGGGGCUGCUGGUGCAGGCCAUGCUGGAGCACGGCGGGGAUCCCUGGGAUUAUAAGGCUGUCGGCCAGGACCCCACCCUGAAAGCCGCCGAGAGGCACUGGGUGAACUACGUCUCCACGUAUCAUCCUAAGGGGGAGAAGAAGUGCUCGGCCCUGCAGUGGCUGCUCUUCGAUCUGGCCAGUAUCCUCCAGGCUGCGGUGGAGGAGAAGGAGCAGUGCGUGAAGAACCUGCAGAACAGCUUGCAGGUGGCCCACAACGAGAUCCUGGCGCUGCGCUGUGACAACGCGCUGCUGGGCGAGCAGGGCGAGCAGCUGCGGAGGGCCAGGGAGGAGCUCAGGGCUGAGGGCGCAGAGAACGCCCGGCUGAGAAGGAAGGUGCAGUGCCUGAGCAGGCUGCUGGGGAAGGGGCUGGAUCAGAGGAAAGUGGCGGCUCUGAGCGAGGGAGACGGGGAGCCGGGGCUGCGGGACGGGGAUAUCUGGGACGUGGAGAUCCAGGAGAACUCCGCUGUGCAAGGUGGGGGGGCUGUGGCUGCCAGGAAAACGAAACUGGCAGAGCGAGAGGGAAGCGCAGGAACGGGGGAUAGGGAUGUGUCAAAAAAAGAGAAAGUCUGGAAGAAGAACAAGGAGGGGUGGCCCAUGUGGGUAAACCGCAUUUGGAGCUUGGAACAGCACACUCCCUUCACGCACGAGGCGGCAAAGCGGGUGGUCACGGCCAUAGGGCUGCCGUGGCCGAAGGUGGGGGCCAUCAUCAGAGCCUUGCCGCCCGAUGAGGCACUGGGAGGAGAAAUCUUAAGGCUGGUGAUUAGAAAUCUAGGGGAAUAUGAGCCCCUCAAGGAUAACAUGGAAGGGGCACCCUGGAGAGAUAUCCAGGAGGCAGCGGCAUACGUGUGUGGGAAUGUGGUGCUCCGGGCAUUAAAGCAGCAGGAGAAACCCGUGAGCUCCGAUUUUGACGUCCUGGGCAUGAAUGUGGAGCAGGGGGAUGUCGGGGUGCUGGCCUGCCGCGCUCCCGAGGCACACAGGGGGUUCUUCAUCAGCCUAGGCUCCACGCUGAUUGGCCGUCCCCUCCGAGAGUGCAUGGCCACCCUGGAGAACCUGGGCACCCUGGUGGGGACGGAGGGGAAAGAGAAGGCAAAGAAGGAAGCAGCGAGGGUGAGGACGUACAUCCCUAGGGGGAUAAUUUGGAGAUACUUGAUAAAUCAGGGAGUAAAUGAAGGAGAGCUAGAUAGUCAGCCCACAGGAGUUCUGCUUGCCAAAAUGAAGAAAAUCCUUCAGGAAAAAGGGAUGAAACAAGAAGAGAUUUGGGAAAAACUAAAGCAGAUGAAGCCAUUGCCUCCUCUUCCUACCCCGAAGAGAAAACAAUAUUCGUUACAGAAGGACCUUAAAGAUUAG
RNAcentral lists this long non-coding RNA (1461 nucleotides) under Chrysolophus pictus (golden pheasant). RNAcentral describes it as "lncRNA (ENSCPIG00010012067.1)". Lineage: Eukaryota; Metazoa; Chordata; Aves; Galliformes; Phasianidae. The record is from RNAcentral.